Molecule: small nuclear RNA, 82 nt
Organism: Pezoporus occidentalis (night parrot)
Lineage: Eukaryota; Metazoa; Chordata; Aves; Psittaciformes; Psittacidae
Product: U4 spliceosomal RNA
Exons: 1
Source: RefSeq, a predicted model, not a curated record
AGCUUUGCUCAGUGGUAGCAUCAUAGCCAAUGAGGUUAAUCUGAGAUUUGAUUAUUGCUAAUUGAAAACUUAUCCCAUUUGG